CCCUCUCUCCAAAGGACCCAUUUUAGGAGGAAAAGCAGGAAGUGCACUGCUAAAUAUUUUUGCUUCCUCUCUGCUGCUGCAGCUGCUUUUGUGCAAGCUGAUCACUAAUUCUGCCGGGUCUCCAGGCCGGGCCCUGGCAAACCUCUGCAACACAACCGUAACUCAUCCCUUCAUCUUAGACGCCCGUCUUAGGUUGCUGCCCACCCCCCAGGUCCCCCCGCCUCUCCUUCCCUCUGCGCAUCCUUUGUGAAGGCACAAUGGCUCCUGAUAAUUAAUUGAUGGCCUCUCCUCUGAGGCAUCCAGCCUGGGGUAAGGUGAGCCGGCGGAGGUGGCCCCGGGCCCUGCUCAGGGAAACUCGACCUGAACGGGGUCAUCUGAACAGGGAACGAGGACCGGCAGACGAGGGCGGUGGGUACCCUCUGGGACCUGGCACGGCACGGGUGGCUCCAUAAAAGGCAGGCAAGGGCCGGCUUUCUCAGGGGCCCAGGGGACGCCUGGCCACAGACACCACUUGGGGACUUCCCCGCUGCACAAGGGGAGAUGGCUACGUUUGUGCCGUAUGCUUCCUGCUAUGGCAACAAGCAGGCCGUGCAGCUCUUGGGAAGGAACAGCUACUUUGCCCUAUUGGCGAAUCCGCCGUGCCUGAUCAGCCAGCGCCAGCGCCUUGCCUGCCCGGCCCCGGAGAUGACCCUGCGGCAGAUCAGCCGACUGAUCCGCGUCUUGCGGCAGCUCAACCUGAGAGACGCCAGGAGGAACCAGCUGCCUGGCGCUCCAAGGGCCCGAUCCAGCAGCUCCUCCACGGCUUCGCAGCAGUCGCGGACUUCGGAGCACCACUGCCUGUCCUGCUUCCAGCCGAGACGCAAUUCCGGCCUACUGUGCGUCAGGUGAACAGCUGGGCCUCCGCCAGGCAGCCAAGAAAAACCAAAUAAACUUUGUUUUUUUUUGGGGGGGGGCA
Molecule: long non-coding RNA, 955 nt
Filed under: Salvator merianae (Argentine black and white tegu)
Lineage: Eukaryota; Metazoa; Chordata; Lepidosauria; Squamata; Teiidae
Description: lncRNA (ENSSMRG00000001579.1)
Source: RNAcentral